This 478-nucleotide ribosomal RNA is filed under the name uncultured bacterium. RNAcentral describes it as "partial 16S ribosomal RNA". It matches the Rfam family "Bacterial small subunit ribosomal RNA", at positions 28 to 523 of the family's 1533-position model. The record is from RNAcentral.
GACGAACGCUGGCGGCGUGCUUAACACAUGCAAGUCGAACGGGAGUAUCGAAGAAGCUUGCUUUUAAGAUACUUUAGUGGCGGACGGGUGAGUAACGCGUGAGGAGCUGUCCUAUGCAGGGGGACAACAGUUGGAAACGACUGCUAAUACCCCAUAAGCCGAGAGGUAAAAGGAUUUAUCCGGCAAAGGAGGUACUCGCGUCCUAUCAGCUAGUAGGUGAGGUAACGGCUCACCUAGGCGAAGACGGGUAGCCGGCCUGAGAGGGCGAACGGCCACACUGGAACUGAGACACGGUCCAGACUCCUACGGGAGGCAGCAGUGGGGAAUUUUUGGCAAUGGGGGCAACCCUGACCAAGCAACGCCGCGUGGGUGAUGAAGUCUCUUGGGACGUAAAACCCUUUCGACGGGGACGAAACCGCAAGGUUGACGGUACCCGUAGAAGAAGCCCCGGCUAACUCUGUGCCAGCAGCCGCAGUAA